RNAcentral lists this ribosomal RNA (439 nucleotides) under uncultured bacterium. Its description in RNAcentral is "partial 16S ribosomal RNA". It matches the Rfam family "Bacterial small subunit ribosomal RNA", at positions 339 to 795 of the family's 1533-position model. The record is from RNAcentral.
CUACGGGUCGCUGCAGUGAGGAAUAUUGCAUAAUGGGGGGAACCCUGAUGCAGCAACGCCGCGUGGAGGAUGACGCAUUUCGGUGUGUAAACUCCUUUUAUAUGUCAAGAAAAUGACGGUAGCAUAUGAAUAAGCACCGGCUAACUCCGUGCCAGCAGCCGCGGUAAUACGGAGGGUGCAAGCGUUACUCGGAAUCACUGGGCGUAAAGGACGCGUAGGCGGGUUGGAAAGUCAGGUGUGAAAUCCUACAGCUUAACUGUAGAACUGCACUUGAAACUUCUAAUCUAGAGUAUGGGAGGGGGAGAUGGAAUUAGUGGUGUAGGGGUAAAAUCCGUAGAUAUCACUAGGAAUACCUAAAGCGAAGGCGAUCUCCUGGAACAUUACUGACGCUAAGGCGUGAAAGCGUGGGGAGCAAACAGGAUUAGAUACCCGAGUAGUC